Molecule: long non-coding RNA, 2602 nt
Filed under: Anas platyrhynchos (mallard)
Lineage: Eukaryota; Metazoa; Chordata; Aves; Anseriformes; Anatidae
Description: lncRNA (ENSAPLG00020016208.1)
Source: RNAcentral
AAGAAUGCAAGAAAUACCACUGCAUAGUUUUAAGACUAAUGUUUUAUUUGUUUUCCUACAAAUAAGUCAGUUGUGACAAACCUAAAGGUGGACAAACCUAAAGGUGACGAGCCUACUUUAGUGUCAUCCUAUUAGUGUUACACAGGAAACGUGAACAACCCUCCCUCUACCUUCAGAGCCUCAGCGCAGCUACCAGGAGGAGCCGCCAGCCCCUGAACCUCAGCCUGAGGGGUUGCUGCGCUUCCUCUGCUAAAAACAAAACCAAACCUCUAGUCACAAACUGGCCGAAUCGUGGCAGGGCCGUUAAAAUGCUUACUGCUCGUUACUACUCGGUACCUCACCAGAUUAGGACACCAACAGUCAAACAAGAGUGGUCCGAAGCAAAGGGAGAGCUCCCCGAAGACCUGCAGCACCUCCUCCUCCUCACAGGGGGGAUUGGGGGCGCCCCAGGGUGGCUGCCAGCAGCCCCUCUAGAAGCACUUGCGGUGGACGAUGGAGGGGCCGGACUCGUCGUACUCCUGCUUGCUGAUCCACAUCUGCUGGAAGGUGGAGAGGGAGGCCAGGAUGGAGCCGCCGAUCCAGACGGAGUACUUGCGCUCCGGCGGGGCGAUGAUUUUGAUCUUCAUGGUGCUGGGCGCCAGGGCCGUGAUCUCCUUCUGCAUCCUGUCGGCAAUGCCCGGGUACAUGGUGGUGCCGCCCGACAGCACGGUGUUGGCGUACAGGUCCUUGCGGAUGUCCACGUCGCACUUCAUGAUGGAGUUGAAGGUGGUCUCGUGGAUGCCGCAGGACUCCAUGCCCAGGAAGGAGGGCUGGAAGAUGGCCUCGGGGCAGCGGAACCGCUCGUUGCCGAUGGUGAUCACCUGCCCGUCGGGCAGCUCGUAGCUCUUCUCCAGCGAGGAGGACGAGGCGCAGGAUGGCGUGGGGCAGCGCGUAGCCCUCGUAGAUGGGCACAGGUGUGGGUGACGCCAGUCGCCGGAGUCCAUCACGAUGCCGGUGGUGCGGCCGGAGGCGUAGAGCGACAGCACGGCCUGGAUGGCCACGUACAUGGCCGGGGUGUUGAAGGUCUCGAACAUGAUCUGGGUCAUCUUCUCCCGGUUGGCUUUAGGGUUGAGGGGAGCCUCGGUGAGCAGCACCGGGUGCUCCUCCGGGGCCACGCGCAGCUCGUUGUAGAAGGUGUGGUGCCAGAUCUUCUCCAUGUCGUCCCAGUUGGUGACGAUGCCGUGCUCGAUGGGGUACUUCAGGGUGAGGAUGCCCCUCUUGCUCUGCGCCUCGUCACCCACGUAGCUGUCCUUCUGCCCCAUGCCCACCAUCACGCCCUGGUGCCGGGGGCGCCCCACGAUGGAGGGGAACACGGCCCGGGGAGCGUCAUCCCCCGCGAAGCCCGCCUUGCACAUGCCUGAGCCAUUGUCCACCACGAGGGCAGCGAUCUCCUCGUCUGCCAUGCUGAAUGCACCUGGGGGACAAGGAGGGGGGGGUCACAGAGCACCUCUGCAAGGGCCCUGCCCUUGUGUGAUGAAGGACCAGAGGGGUCAGGGCACUGGAAAUGGCCAGGGAGUGAGAAGGGGCAUGGAGGAGACUCCAAGAUGGGUCCUGGGGGUGCCAGAAAGGCAGCAGGGUGACCUAACCCCGCACAGCAUGCACACCCUGAGGAGCCAGGACACCCACAACAUCCCCCCCCCCCCCCAAAAAAAAAAUCUCCCCAGGGAGGCCCUCUUCUCCCCUGAUUCCCCCAAAAAAACUUAGGGACAUCCCCUUUUCCCUUACCAAAAAAAGAGCCUCAAGGAACCCCCCACCUUUUUCCCUCAAAAAAAAAAAAAGAAAAACAAGGAAAAUUUCUCUCCCCACCCCUACUCCAAGCCUCCUGAGGGCCACCCUCCUCCCCACAAAGAAAACCCUCAGGGCACCCCCAUCUCCCUCCACCCCAAAACCCCCUCAAUAACACCCCCUCUUUCCCCCUAACCGAAAAAGACCCCUCAGGACACCCCUCCUCCCCCCAAAACCCCCGGUGGGCACAAACCCUCCCCCAAAAAGGCCCCUGAGGGCUGCCCCCCUCACCCUACCCUCCAAAAAUCCUCUCAGGGCUGCCCUUCUCCUCCCCACAUCCCCCAAAACCCUCCAGGGCCGCCCCCUGCCCCCUAUUUCCCCAGCACCCCCCCGGUACCCCCCACCAAGGCCGCCCCCCGCAUACCCACCUGCGCCGCCGCCGCCUCGCCUCCGACUGCCCAGCCCCGCCCCGCUCCCUUCCUUUUAUACCCCCGGAACCGGAAGCCGCUCCAUCCUCGCCGUCCCAUUGGCCGAACCACCUUUCCCUCACCAUCCGUCCCGCCCCUUCCGGGCUCCACCGUUGCCGGGGCCGCACCCGGAAGUUCCCGCCUCGCUUCCGGGGCCGGGCACCGCCCCCCCCCUCCCCGCGGCCCCGUUUCCGGUGGGGCUGAGGCGGGGCGGGCCCGGGGCCGGGGGGGCGGUGGCGGCGGCGGCGGGCGGGGCCCGGGCGGCAGCGUGAGGGGGGCCGCAGCCGGCACGGCCGGGCCGAGCCACAGGUAACGGAGCCCGGGGAGCCCGGGGGGGAGGCAGGGGGCCGCGGGGAGGCAGCGCCGGGGGG